Molecule: ribosomal RNA, 506 nt
Filed under: uncultured bacterium
Lineage: Bacteria
Description: partial 16S ribosomal RNA
Rfam family: Bacterial small subunit ribosomal RNA
Source: RNAcentral
AGUGAACGCUGGCGGUAGGCCCAACACAUGCAAGUCGAACGGCAGCACAGGAGAGCUUGCUCUCUGGGUGGCGAGUGGCGGACGGGUGAGGAAUACAUCGGAAUCUACUCUGUCGUGGGGGAUGACGUAGGGAAACUUACGCUAAUACCGCAUACGACCUACGGGUGAAAGCAGGGGAUCUUCGGACCUUGCGCGAUUGAAUGAGCCGAUGUCGGAUUAGCUAGUUGGCGGGGUAAAGGCCCACCAAGGCGACGAUCCGUAGCUGGUCUGAGAGGAUGAUCAGCCACACUGGAACUGAGACACGGUCCAGACUCCUACGGGAGGCAGCAGUGGGGAAUAUUGGACAAUGGGCGCAAGCCUGAUCCAGCCAUACCGCGUGGGUGAAGAAGGCCUUCGGGUUGUAAAGCCCUUUUGUUGGGAAAGAAAUCCAGCUGGCUAAUACCCGGUUGGGAUGACGGUACCCAAAGAAUAAGCACCGGCUAACUUCGUGCCAGCCGCCGCUGUAA